Molecule: long non-coding RNA, 2008 nt
Organism: Chelonia mydas (Green sea turtle)
Lineage: Eukaryota; Metazoa; Chordata; Testudines; Cheloniidae
Exons: 2
Source: RefSeq, a predicted model, not a curated record
CCGCCCCUUGCAGGGGCUCCGCCAGCCGCCCUCGCCAUUGGCUGCGGCGCGGCCUCGGCCCACCGCGACCAGCGUUCUCCCCUCGCCCGUCUCUGCCUACAUCUUGUUUCAUCCCACAAUGCCGCGAGCAGGCUGCGGAGCGCGUCUGGCUCACGAGGUUUCAUGCUGAUGUGUCCCUGUGGAUGUCAGCGGAGUUACUCCAGGAUGAGAUCAGUUGGGCCUCUUAAGUCCAAUCACUGUGUCUGGCAAGGAUAUAGGGCCAGUGCUUUACUUUGUGUUUGCUUAUCUGGGUGCAUUCGUCGUGCUUUGUGGUUUUAUCAUGGAGCGGUGGUGCCGCAUGUCAUCUUUGAUGUGCACUAAUAAUAGGACUAUGCACUGGCUCAGGGAGAUCAGUAUUGUAUUCCUGGGUCUCCGAAAGAUUCCAGGGCACUUUUUGUACAAGAAGGGAUUUGCUGCAGUAUCUUUGGCCAUAGAAAUCUCCCCGCCUCACGGUGGCGUGCACUAGUCAUCUGUGCUCUUCACCCCAGAAGUUGGUGCAUUUCCAUAGUGCCAUAUGUAUAUAGGAUCUUAUCCUGCAACUGGAUCUACACAAGCAGAUCCCUGCACCCAUAUAAAGCCUCAUAGAGUUCAGGGAUCCAUGCACAUGGAUCUGAUUGGAGGAUUGGGGCCAUAGUUUGUAAAGUAUUCUUGGGAUGAAAGGCAUUACAUAAAGUAAAAAGUGUUUUGCCAGUGUUAAUUAAUUGUAAUGAUACUGCACGCUUCUACAGUGCCUUCAGUCGGAGUGUAUGACAGACACUAAUUAAGUAAGCCUCACAAAAUGCUCCUGUGAGGUAGGUAGGCAGGCAGUAUUACAGUGUCUCUCAUUUACAGAAGAAGAAAUUGAGGCACGGAGAGAGUGAGUGAUUUGUCCAAGAUCACACAGCAUGUUAGCAGCAAAGUCAGGAAUAGAUCCUGUGUCUCUUAAUGCCCAAUCAUGUGACCCUCCUCCUUCCAUUGACAUUAUAUCAAAAGCCACUUGUAAGGACCUCGGAUAGAAAUGUACUAUUGAUUGACACCCUGCAGUGCCUCUGCCACAACAUCUCUAGGGCAGGAACAACACAUAUUCAAAACCCUACCGUACACAAGGACUGCAGAAGAGGCAGGUUUGUCCUUUGUCCAACAGGUAUGGCACUGCGCUAGGUGUCAGGAUUCCAUUUUUGGCUCUGAUGCUGACUUACUGGGUGACCUCGGGCAAGUCACAUCCAUCUCCCUGGGCCUUAGUUUCUCCUAUGUAACCUGAGGAUAACGAUGCCCUCCUUCAUCAAGUGCUUUCAGAACUCAUUUGUCUCGAUGGGACUAAAAGGACUCCUCACCAUAUAAAAACCAGGUGAGGCCUUUGACCAAACUGAGGAGGACUGGCUGUUUCUGGAGGUCUAGAUAUCAGUGGUGGCCAAGAGUGCUUCUCCAACUUCUCCUGACCAUUCCUUGUCUUGUGGAGCUGGUGACAGGUUGGAGGGAAGGUGGGUGUCUCAUGUCUAAUAGUGAACUCCAAUUUGCUCGGUAAACCCCAUUUUGUUUCAGGGGUUCUGCUUUGUAUUGUAAUCUUCAUUAUGCAGUGUGACCUUGAUGUUCUAUUGUAGCCUCUUUUGUGGAUUACAGCAUCUGGAAGCUGGCACAGAACAAUGUAGUGCCAUCAACAUUGCAUAACUCUUCCCUUCUAGAACAAUGGAUUUUCUACCAGAAGGGCUAUUGAUUUUGAAUGAUUCUCUGCACAGAAGCUGAUGGGAUAGGGGCUCGAACCCAGAAUUCCUCCAUCUGAAGCACAUAGGCCACAGGAGGAGAAACACAUGCCAGAAGAUCAAACUAAGAAGGAAGGCAGGAAAGGCUGCAUCACCUCUGGUCGCUGUCCAAACCCAGGACUUAUGGAGGACUGAAAUCAGAUUUGGAGGGCUGCAUUCAGGACUCUUUGCUAUGCAAAGAUCUGUAACUCUCCAGUGUGCUUUGUUAAGAGUAAAGUGUUUGUGGUUAA